UCGACUGUUUACCAAAAACAUAGCCCUAAAAAAAAAUUUAAGGUGAGACCUGCCCAGUGAUUAUAAUUUAACUAAUUAAAAAUAGAAAAUUAAUCAAACGGCCGCGGUAUCUUGACCGUGUUAAUGUAGCACAAUAAUGUGUCGUUUAAUUGGCGAAUAGUAUGAAGGGUUUAACGAAAAUUUCACUGUCUUAAAAAUAAUAAAAAAAAAUUGAAAUAAUAGUUAAGAUGCUAUUUAAAACUAUAAGACGAAUAGACCCUAUAAAGCUUAACUAUAAAUUAUAUUCGAAAAAAUGUAUAAUAAAUACAUACACAAUAUAGUUAGGUAGUUUAGUUGGGGCAACGACAUUUUAAUAUUAAAGAAUGUAUACAAAAUACAUAAUAAAAUUUAUUUAUUGUUCGAUCAAUAAAUCUAACAAUCACAAAGUGGGUUAUAAUGACCUGUCAAUAUAACAAAAAAUAAUUGACAAUCAAUAAAUAAAAGCUACUUUAGGGAUAACAGGUUAAUUUUAUCCAAAAGACGUUAUUAAAGAUAAAGUUUGACACCUCGAUGUUGAAUUAAGGUAUCCAGGUGGUGCAACCGCUACCAAAGGUAGGUCUGUUCGACCUUUAAAACCUUACAUGAUUUGAGUUCAUUCCGUA
This 641-nucleotide ribosomal RNA is filed under the name Polyplumaria flabellata. RNAcentral describes it as "partial 16S ribosomal RNA". It matches the Rfam family "Bacterial large subunit ribosomal RNA", at positions 1796 to 2620 of the family's 2925-position model. The record is from RNAcentral. Lineage: Eukaryota; Metazoa; Cnidaria; Hydrozoa; Leptothecata; Plumulariidae.